UUCCUCUGGGGUUUUCGCACAAGUGAGGCAAGGGGUUAAUCGAGACCCAGCUCUUUGGAGCUCCUCAACGGAGAGUAGGAUCACAAGAUCCGAACUUCGGGAAAAAAUCGCUCUUGUCUCUUUCUGUGAUGUUUUUGUGGAUGUUUCUGUGAUCUAUCCCCUGCUUAGAAUACCUGUGCAUCAUCUUGUGAAGAUUGGCUUAGUCUCCUGUUUUGAAAUUUGAUUUUCAUCCUUGUUAUGUAACCCGGAAGUUCCUGUCCUAACAACACUGGAAGUUCCGGGCCUGGCAGGCCGGAAGUUCCGGAGUUCCUUACCAGGAAGUUCCGGGUCUGUUUGAAUUUUACCGCUGCGAUUUGUUUUUAAGUUUUCAGGGACAGUCUAUUCACCCCCCCCCCCCCUCUCUAGGCUUCAUCAGCACGUUCAGACAUCGCUGAUGAGGAUCCCCAGGUAGAUCAAAUGGCCAAUGGAGGAGCUCCAUUAGCUCGAGCAAUGUGGAUCCAGAAGGGAGCUGUCAAAGUUCUAUUUGAGUUUACGUCUGAUGGAUAUUAUCCUCACUGCCGCUGUUCCGUCGAGAGAGCAAUGGAGAUAUACAUGAACAACCUCAAGGAACUCAAGGUGGAUGAGCCAUGAUUUUGCUAUAUCUCUUGUGAUUUGCCCUUUGAAUACAGCAAGGUCAGUUCGAUGCUUAUACUUUCUAUCCUUUUUAUAAUAAAUCGACCGACAUAACGUCAAAGCUAUCAGUACAAUAGUAUCUGCAGUAUGACCCUUCCACUUGUAUAUUUCAAUCAAUACUAUACCCUUUCGUAACGUGUGCCUCGAUACAUAAAUCUACCUAUGUACCUAAACUUGCCAACAGUAUAGCCUUCUUGCCUUACUUGUAUAAUUAUGUGAUGAUUGUUCUCCUGUAAAAAUAUAUAUGUAUCUAUGUAGCAAGUUAUUGGUGGUACUAUGACGAGCCUUAUGAAUCUAGAUCAGACACUCUUCCUUC
Molecule: non-coding RNA, 988 nt
Organism: Oryza sativa Japonica Group (Japanese rice)
Lineage: Eukaryota; Viridiplantae; Streptophyta; Magnoliopsida; Poales; Poaceae
Source: RefSeq, a predicted model, not a curated record